RNAcentral lists this transfer RNA (72 nucleotides) under Coniophora puteana RWD-64-598 SS2. RNAcentral's name for it is "tRNA-Trp (CCA) (tRNA-Trp-CCA-2-1)". It matches the Rfam family "tRNA". Rfam says of the family: Transfer RNA (tRNA) molecules are approximately 80 nucleotides in length. Their secondary structure includes four short double-helical elements and three loops (D, anti-codon, and T loops). Further hydrogen bonds mediate the characteristic L-shaped molecular structure. tRNAs have two regions of fundamental functional importance: the anti-codon, which is responsible for specific mRNA codon recognition, and the 3' end, to which the tRNAs corresponding amino acid is attached (by aminoacyl-tRNA synthetases). tRNAs cope with the degeneracy of the genetic code in two manners: having more than one tRNA (with a specific anti-codon) for a particular amino acid; and 'wobble' base-pairing, i.e. permitting non-standard base-pairing at the 3rd anti-codon position. Lineage: Eukaryota; Fungi; Basidiomycota; Agaricomycetes; Boletales; Coniophoraceae. The record is from RNAcentral.
GGACCCGUGGCGCAGUGGUAGCGCGUGUGAUUCCAGUCCACAAGGUCAUCCGUUCAAUCCGGGUCGGGUUCA